CUUACUGAUUGGCCCCAAAAUGCCUUAAAGUUUCUACCUAUACUCUGAACAAAGAAAUCUAAUCCAUCUCUCUGUCUCUUCAUCACCAUGCUAUCCUUCUCUGGAGGGUACUUCAGUUUACCUUAAAAUGUAGGCUCCAAAGCUGAACUCUGUGCUCCAAAUGUGUUCUGAAGAGAGCGGAGCACGUGGAUACUCCUGUCUCUCUAAUCUGGAGAACUCUACGCCUCAUAUUAAAAGCCUAAAGUCAUACUGACUUUUUUGAACUUUUUUGUCACUUGGCUGAAUGAUACUAAGCUCUCCCUUCAAAGCUGUCCCCGUUUCUUUGCAGGGUUUGUUUCUUUUGAAUUUGUUAUUAACUUUGAAUUAUGAAAAGACCAAUUAAACUUAAGGAAUUGGGGAGGGAGAGGAAGGAUCAGGGGAUGAGUUCCACAGCUCAACUGAUGAAAUUACAGAGCUUCAGACUUUGGCCCUUUUGCAAUUUUAUAGGAUAUAAGGCAAAACUUUUUUUAGACUGGCCAAAUUUGCAUAUGAAAGGGGCCAGGAAACUCCCCGGAGGUUAGACAGAGGCGAGGAAAUUUUCUAAAACUGUGGACUGACUUUUCUACACCCACUCAUUGAUGUGAUCAAACGAGAAUGACUUGAUAAAUUGAAAACCGGAGAACUGAUUCUGGCAGAGGCUAUCCAUUCAAGAGAUUCUGUUCUAAAACAGCAUUUCUAGCAGGAUGCAACAUUUUCUUGGGUUGGGACAGGGGAAAUUCUUCUGUAAUAGCAUCCUGUAGCAAAGCCCAUGGCCGGGUGGGUUUUCCCUCAGAGGGGAAUUUGAGGACAUUGCUUACCGAACUUCAAAGAAUGAAUAACAACAUGGAGAAAAAAGUUCAGAGACAGAGAGCUCGGAAUCGGGAGCAGGGAUCCUGCUGCUUGGGAAAUGGUCAGCCUCGAUGUCAGGACACUGAGGAAGAAGAGCUGGGGUUGCUCCUCUUGGACCUAAGGAAAGGGAAGAAAAUGUGAAUAAGAAACAGAUGCGGGUACUCCUCACAGCAUUGGCCAGAAGACAUGGCACGAGAACAUCAAGACCUGGAGCAGAGAAAGCAGCUAGAAGCUUUGAUGGGAGAAGAAGCACAGAGAUGCCAAAAUUGCCAACUGUUGUGAUCCUGUUAAGGUGGGGAAGCUCAUCUCCCCUUUUAGUUCUUGAGUCUGAGCUGAGUAGCACACCUCCCUUUCCACCAGCAGUGGGGAGCUGCAGUUAGGAUUCUUUCCUUCACACCUGAAGAUCGCAUAGGAAGGUCUCUCGAUCAUCCCCUCCCACUGAGUCCGAAGCAGGUCCCAGGGGCUUCUCACCUUCACUCAUUACUUACUACAGCAGCAUUCACCCCUGUGACCCACAGAGUACGGAUUCUGGCAGUCGUUUCCUCCUGCCCUUUUCCAGGCUUAGCGACCUUGAUAGUUGGGGAUAACAGGACCUGUCCAGAUCAAAAAUGUAGCUCAUAAGUGACUGGGCUGCUCAGAAGGUCAACAGGAGUGGAGCCCUUUAUACAGAGUCUUUGGCUGCUCUUUGUACUUUCCAGCUGUUCUAGUAGAUGAUUGGCGAGGACUCCAUCCCAGUCAGGGAAGAUGAUGGUACAACUCGGUUUCAUAGUGGAUAGGAUUCAGGAGUUGGGAACUGGAAUACCAGAGUUCGCCAGUGACCAGACACUAAUUAACUGGGUGAUCCUGGACAGAUCACUUCCCUCUCUGUGCCUCAUCUAUAAAAUGGGAAUAAUAAGAGCACCUCAUCUAUAAAAUGGGGAUAAUAAGAAAAAAAAACUUCACAAAGUAGUUGUAAUGGUUAAGUGAAUUAAUAUAAAUAAAAUAUUUUGUAAAUCAUAAAGUGCUGUGUAAAUGCUAGCUAUUAUAAUUUAUAUAUAUUUUGUAUGUAUUUACCCUUCAGAGUGCAUAUAUUUUAAAAAGUUUUUUUAAAUAUUUAUUUGCAUAUGUAUACAUAUAUUGUAUUUAACAUAUACUUUAACAUAUUUAACAUGUAUGACACUUGCCAUCUGGGGAGGGGGUGAAGGGAAGGAGUGAAAAAGUUGAAACAGAAGUUUUUGCAAGGUCAGUGUUGAAAAAUUACCCAGCAUAUGUUUUGUAUAUAAGAAGCUAUAAUAAAAACAUUUUAACAUCAAAA
Antechinus flavipes (yellow-footed antechinus) is the source of this 2161-nucleotide long non-coding RNA. RefSeq lists it as uncharacterized. Lineage: Eukaryota; Metazoa; Chordata; Mammalia; Dasyuromorphia; Dasyuridae. The transcript is spliced from 3 exons. The record is from RefSeq and is a predicted model, not a curated record.